AGUCGAGGGGUAUAAGUAGCAAUACUUAGAGACCGGCGCACGGGUGAGUAACGCGUAUGCAACCUGCCCUUUACUGGAGGAUAGCCCGUAGAAAUGCGGAUUAAUACCCCAUAGUAAUGUUGGAUCGCAUGAUCUGGCAUUUAAAGUUUCGGCGGUAAAGGAUGGGCAUGCGUGACAUUAGCUAGUUGGAGAGGUAACGGCUCACCAAGGCUUCGAUGUCUAGGGGUUCUGAGAGGAAGAUCCCCCACACUGGUACUGGGACACGGACCAGACUCCUACGGGAGGCAGCAGUGAGGAAUAUUGGUCAAUGGGCGAGAGCCUGAACCAGCCAUCCCGCGUGCAGGAAGAAUGCCCUAUGGGUUGUAAACUGCUUUUUCGCAUGAAGAACACCCCUGACGUGUCAGGGGCUGACGGUAAUGCGUGAAUAAGCACCGGCUAACUCCGUGCCAGCAGCCGCGGUAAUACGGAGGGUGCAAGCGUUAUCCGGAUUUAUUGGGUUUAAAGGGUGCGUAGGCGGCUAUUUAAGUCAGUGGUGAAAUCCUGCAGCUUAACUGUAGAACAGCCAUUGAAACUGAAUAGCUUGAGUGAUCUUGAGGUAGGCGGAAUGUGUAGUGUAGCGGUGAAAUGCUUAGAUAUUACACAGAACACCGAUUGCGAAGGCAGCUUACUAAGGAUUUACUGACGCUGAUGCACGAAAGCGUGGGGAUCAAACAGGAUUAGAUACCCUGGUAGUCCACGCCGUAAACGAUGAUAACUCGCUGUUGGCGAUACACAGUCAGCGGCUUAGCGAAAGCGUUAAGUUAUCCACCUGGGGAGUACGCUCGCAAG
Molecule: ribosomal RNA, 828 nt
Filed under: uncultured bacterium
Lineage: Bacteria
Description: bacterial SSU rRNA
Rfam family: Bacterial small subunit ribosomal RNA
Source: RNAcentral